Molecule: small nuclear RNA, 106 nt
Organism: Mastomys coucha (southern multimammate mouse)
Lineage: Eukaryota; Metazoa; Chordata; Mammalia; Rodentia; Muridae
Source: RefSeq, a predicted model, not a curated record
UGCCUCAACUCAGCAGCACAUAUAUAAAAUUGGAAUGAUUUGGAAGAGAUUAACAUGGCCCCUGCAUAGAGAUGACAGGCAAAUCCAUGAAGCACCCCGCAGCGUU